AACGCACAUUGCGCCCUCUGGUAUUCCGGGGGGCAUGCCUGUUCGAGCGUCAUUACAACCCUCAAGCUCUGCUUGGUAUUGGGUGCCACUUGCUGUAGUGCACCCUAAAAUUAGUGGCUGUACCAUCUGGCUUCUAGCAUAGUAAUAUUUCUUGCUUUGGAGUCUGGGUGUGUUCAUACCAGCAACCCCAAUUUGCAAAGGUUGACCUCGGAUCAGGUAGGGAUACCCGCUGAACUUAA
RNAcentral lists this unclassified non-coding RNA (239 nucleotides) under uncultured fungus. RNAcentral describes it as "sequence contains ITS2". The stretch from base 1 to 52 matches the Rfam family "5.8S ribosomal RNA", at positions 103 to 154 of the family's 154-position model. Lineage: Eukaryota; Fungi. The record is from RNAcentral.